GUAGUCAUACGCUCGUCUCAAAGAUUAAGCCAUGCAUGUGUAAGUAUAAAUAAUUUUACUUUGAAACUGCGAAUGGCUCAUUAUAUCAGUUAUAGUUUAUUAGAAAUAUUUUACUACUUGGAUAACCGUAGUAAUUCUAGGGCUAAUACAUGAGUAAAACCUCAACUUCGGAAGAGGUGUGUUUAUUAGUAUGAAAACCAUAUAUCUUCGGAUAUAAUAGUGAGUAAUAAUAACCUUUCGUAUCGUAUGUCGUAAGAUAACGAUAGUUCUUUCAAGUUUCUGCCCUAUCAGCUUUCGAUGGUAGUAUAUGGGACUACCAUGGCAGUAACGGGUAACGAAG
This 340-nucleotide ribosomal RNA is filed under the name Blastocystis sp. RNAcentral describes it as "SSU rRNA". It matches the Rfam family "Eukaryotic small subunit ribosomal RNA", at positions 20 to 367 of the family's 1831-position model. The record is from RNAcentral. Lineage: Eukaryota; Bigyra; Opalinata; Blastocystidae.